This 257-nucleotide long non-coding RNA is filed under the name Helianthus annuus (common sunflower). RNAcentral's name for it is "sRNA HanXRQr2_Chr17g0789311". The record is from RNAcentral. Lineage: Eukaryota; Viridiplantae; Streptophyta; Magnoliopsida; Asterales; Asteraceae.
GGCGGGUACAGCUGGCAGAAAGGACAACGGUUGCUGAGAGAACAUUUCAGGCCUCACUGCGGAAUCAACAUGAGCUCCAAGACGAGAGUUCAAAGUCUUACAUUGGAUUGCAAAGGGGGCAUUGAUGGUUGAGAAAACGACAUCUGAGGUGGACCCGCAUGAAAAGGAUAUGUUUGUGAUGAAGGUUCGGGUGGAGGAGGUGGUGGUGGCGGUGGAGGUGAUGGGGUUGAUGGAGGUGGUGGAACCAUAAGUGGUGA